RNAcentral lists this ribosomal RNA (403 nucleotides) under Verrucomicrobiota bacterium. Its description in RNAcentral is "Verrucomicrobia bacterium partial 16S ribosomal RNA". It matches the Rfam family "Bacterial small subunit ribosomal RNA", at positions 355 to 776 of the family's 1533-position model. The record is from RNAcentral. Lineage: Bacteria; Pseudomonadati; Verrucomicrobiota.
UGGGGAAUAUUGCACAAUGGGGGAAACCCUGAUGCAGCGACGCCGCGUGAGCGAAGAAGGCUUUCGAGUCGUAAAGCUCUGUCCUAUGAGAAGAUAAUGACGGUAUCAUAGGAGGAAGCCCUGGCUAAAUACGUGCCAGCAGCCGCGGUAAUACGUAUGGGGCGAGCGUUGUCCGGAAUUAUUGGGCGUAAAGGGUACGUAGGCGGUUUUUUAAGUCAGGUGUCAAAGCGUGGAGCUUAACUCCAUUAAGCACUUGAAACUGAAAGACUUGAGUGAAGGAGAGGAAAGUGGAAUUCCUAGUGUAGCGGUGAAAUGCGUAGAUAUUAGGAGCAAUACCGGUGGCGAAGGCGACUUUCUGGACUUUUACUGACGCUCAGGUACGAAAGCGUGGGGAGCAAACAGG